RNAcentral lists this ribosomal RNA (454 nucleotides) under uncultured Nitrosomonas sp. Its description in RNAcentral is "bacterial SSU rRNA". It matches the Rfam family "Bacterial small subunit ribosomal RNA", at positions 382 to 828 of the family's 1533-position model. Lineage: Bacteria; Pseudomonadati; Pseudomonadota; Betaproteobacteria; Nitrosomonadales; Nitrosomonadaceae. The record is from RNAcentral.
CCUGAUCCAGCAAUGCCGCGUGCAGGACGAAGGCCUUCGGGUUGUAAACUGCUUUUGUACGGAGCGAAACGGCUUUCUCUAAUACAGGGGGCUAAUGACGGUACCGUAAGAAUAAGCACCGGCUAACUACGUGCCAGCAGCCGCGGUAAUACGUAGGGUGCGAGCGUUAAUCGGAAUUACUGGGCGUAAAGCGUGCGCAGGCGGUUUUGUAAGACAGAUGUGAAAUCCCCGGGCUCAACCUGGGACCUGCAUUUGUGACUGCAAAGCUGGAGUGCGGCAGAGGGGGAUGGAAUUCCGCGUGUAGCAGUGAAAUGCGUAGAUAUGCGGAGGAACACCGAUGGCGAAGGCAAUCCCCUGGGCCUGCACUGACGCUCAUGCACGAAAGCGUGGGGAGCAAACAGGAUUAGAUACCCUGGUAGUCCACGCCCUAAACGAUGUCAACUGGUUGUUGGGU